UACGGGGGGGGCAAGCGUUGUUCGGAAUUACUGGGCGUAAAGGGCUCGUAGGCGGCCAACUAAGUCAGACGUGAAAUCCCUCGGCUUAACCGGGGAACUGCGUCUGAUACUGGAUGGCUCGAGAUUGGGAGAGGGAUGCGGAAUUCCAGGUGUAGCGGUGAAAUGCGUAGAUAUCUGGAGGAACACCGGUGGCGAAGGCGGCUGCCUGGCCCAAUACUGACACUCAGGUGCGACAGCGUGGGGAGCAAACAGG
Molecule: ribosomal RNA, 253 nt
Filed under: uncultured bacterium
Lineage: Bacteria
Description: partial 16S ribosomal RNA
Rfam family: Bacterial small subunit ribosomal RNA
Source: RNAcentral